GCUCAGGAUGAACGCUGGCGGCGUGCUUAACACAUGCAAGUCGAACGAAGCACCUCUCCCGAAGAUUGACACAGCUUGCUGUAGAUUGAUUCAUUUGAGGUGACUGAGUGGCGGACGGGUGAGUAACGCGUGGGUAACCUGCCUCAUAGAGGGGGACAACAGUUGGAAACGACUGCUAAUACCGCAUAGUAAGAAAGAUUCGCAUGUUUCUUUCUUGAAAGAUUUAUCGCUAUGAGAUGGACCCGCGUCUGAUUAGCUAGUUGGUAAGGUAACGGCUUACCAAGGCGACGAUCAGUAGCCGGCUUGAGAGAGUGAACGGCCACAUUGGGACUGAGACACGGCCCAAACUCCUACGGGAGGCAGCAGUA
Molecule: ribosomal RNA, 368 nt
Filed under: uncultured bacterium
Lineage: Bacteria
Description: bacterial SSU rRNA
Rfam family: Bacterial small subunit ribosomal RNA
Source: RNAcentral